This 461-nucleotide ribosomal RNA is filed under the name Arctornis sp. H392. RNAcentral describes it as "partial large subunit ribosomal RNA". Lineage: Eukaryota; Metazoa; Arthropoda; Insecta; Lepidoptera; Erebidae. The record is from RNAcentral.
UGCCCCCGGAUAAUAAAUUAAAGGGCUGCAGUAUUUUGACUGUACAAAGGUAGCAUAAUCAUUAGUCAUUUAAUUGAUGACUUGUAUGAAAGAUUGGAUGAGAUAUAAGCUGUCUUUAAUGUAAGUUAUAGAAUUUAAUUUUUUAAUUAAAAAGUUAAAAUAUUUUAAAAAGACGAGAAGACCCUAUAGAGUUUUAUUUUAAUUUAAAUUAAGAUUUUUUAUAAAAAUAAUGAUUUAAAUUUAUUUUAUAAUUUUGUUGGGGUGAUAGAAAAAUUUAGUAAACUUUUUUUAAAAAUUUAACAUAUAUAAGUGAUUAAAUGAUCCAAUUUUAUUGAUUAUAAGAAAAAAUUACCUUAGGGAUAACAGCGUAAUUUUUUUUUUUAGUUCAAAUAAGAAAAAGAGUUUGCGACCUCGAUGUUGGAUUAAGAUAAAAUUUAAAUGCAGAAGUUUAAAAUUUUUGA